CACAAUCACUAUAAACUCAAUAUUCAUCAUUCACAUCACACACAAUUCAUAACCAACGGAAUCAACAAUCAAUCAACACCAACAAUUAUUCAUCACCAACGAAGAUCAAACCACAUACGAAUAUUUUAUCCAACACACCGUAUAUCACCAACAAAGAAAUGAAAAGAUGAAAGGAGUAGAAUUGGACCUCAAUUUGAAGCUUUCAAGAUUUAGUAUUAACCGGGUGAAGAGACGAAAUCCGUGACCGGACCUCGAAUUGAACCUCAAUAGACUAACCCGCCUCAACUCGAACCUCGAACGACGAACCAAAUCCACGGGAACAUCUCAAAACUCAAUUCAAACAAGGCUCCACAAAGAACAAACGAAUUGGUGGCCGGAAUUAACGUUUUUCUGGCAAGAUUUAAACUGAAAAUGAGAAAGGGGUGGCUAUUUGAUGUGGGUUUGGUCGGAAUAGAGCCGGAAAUGCCGUUCUCCGGUGGGUUUCGCCGUAGCAGUGACCUAACGGUGGUCGUCGGAGUACCUGGCGGCAAUUUCGGUGAAGAACUCACCAAAAAUAGUCUGACCAAUCUGUUUCUCCCUCUCUUUCUUGAUUUUAGCUCUCUCUCUCCUGAUUUUCUCUCUCUGGUGCUCGAUUUUACUCCAUCUUCUUCCUUUCGAUCUCUCCUUCUCACGAUUUUGACUCUCUCUCGAUUCCCUCUCUCGUAUCUAUUAGUUUUUGUAUGUGUUCUCCCGUGUGUGGGUAUAUCGUGAAUGAGUGAAUGUGUGUGUAUCUUUGAUCAAUGAGGAUUUUUCCGUGUGUUCUGUGGGGUAGUGCGUAUAUAUGAGAAUUUGUGGUGAGGUUCGUGUUGUGCUCGGGUGUGUGAACGUGUAUAUGUAUAUCUCUCUCUCACUGGUGUGUGUAUUUUUCUCAGGUGGGGUGAAAAAGAGAGUUUUUUCGUGAAUGAAUUUUUUGGGCGAGUUUUUUUUUUUUUGUGAGGUGUAUUUUGUUCUCCUAUAUUCUGUUGGUGAAUUGUGUAUAUACUCCCCUUUUCUUUGUGGAAAAGAGAUGUGGGGGGUUAAAGGGUAAGGGUAGGGGUAUAGGGUGGGGUAGGUUGUUAGGAUGAGGUGUAAAGUUAGUGAGGAUAGGAUUAAAACAAGAUAGAAUUUGUUAGGGAUUAUGUUAAGGGUUAUUAUUUUUAUAUUUUUGUGGGGUAUAAUCACAUGGUUGAGGGUGUGUGGUAAUGUGAGCUAAAAAUGAAUAAAAUUGGAUUUGGGAGAGACAAAAUUAGGUGUCUACACAGAGUAGUUUUGACCCUUUUUCAUUUUACAUAUGAUUAUAAAAAAAAAAAAAAUUCCAGUUCCAAUUGAACAAAAUUCCUAUUUAUAUAUUCUCCCCGAAUAAGUUAAUGUGCCCAUUAACUUGGCCUCAACUGACAUUUAUGCCCUUCAACUUUGAAUAUGCAUUAGUGCGCACACUUGAUGUAUCAUAAAAUUGAGCAAAUAGACACAUGCGUUCCACACGUGGCAAAUCGCGUCAAAUUCACGUCUCCUAUGUGUCAAAUCACAUGAGAUUUUCCACGAAGGACGUGUGUCUACUUGUUAAUUUUAUGAUAGUUUAAGUGUCAACUUGUGCAAAUCCAAAGUUUUAAAGGUUACAUAUAUGUAUUGUACCAAUUAUUUGUACAUUAAGUAAUGCCAUCUCCGGCAAUGACAAAUUAUUCCUUGAUCAUUCAGUAUGUCAAGUUUUUUUCUCCGUUCUCUCCAUACAUAUUUAUAUGUAUAGAAGGAGCUAGGAUUUUGAGUUUAUGCUCGGGUGUGUGAACGUGUAUAUGUAUAUCUCUCUCUCACUGGUGUGUGUAUUUUUCUCAGGUGGGGUGAAAAAGAGAGUUUUUUCGUGAAUGAAUUUUUUGGGCGAGUUUUUUUUUUUUUGUGAGGUGUAUUUUGUUCUCCUAUAUUCUGUUGGUGAAUUGUGUAUAUACUCC
RNAcentral lists this long non-coding RNA (1961 nucleotides) under Capsicum annuum. Its description in RNAcentral is "long non-coding RNA (CANN_LNC014793)". The record is from RNAcentral. Lineage: Eukaryota; Viridiplantae; Streptophyta; Magnoliopsida; Solanales; Solanaceae.